CUAGUGCUGGCUGUGAAAGUAUUUUAUCGUAGGUUGAAAUAUCACGAGCGGAAGCAAGUGGUUAGAAAUUUGAGUGUGGCAAGUAAUAGACAGUAGUGUUAAGCGAUCCGGGCGCAGUGGCGUGCUAUCUCUCACACUGAAUAUAAGUCAAUAUGGCACAUAGAGUGACAUUGUUUCUUCUUGUAGCUGUGUUAUUUCAUGAAUUUUUAUUGAUUCAUUCUACGACAUACGACAAAAAAACUUUAGACGGGAUGAUUCUCAAGACUCUCUGGACUAAAGUGUACACAGGAUAUGAUCCCAAGAUAAAGGAGCAAGCCAUCAACACUUUGAGGAAAACUGGAGACUACGACAAACUAAUAAACCACCUACUAAAAGUGAAGAAGGAGAAAGUUCAACGGAUUCUUAACUUAUUAGCCGAAAUUAUUAUUGCGUAUG
Molecule: long non-coding RNA, 435 nt
Organism: Manduca sexta (tobacco hornworm)
Lineage: Eukaryota; Metazoa; Arthropoda; Insecta; Lepidoptera; Sphingidae
Exons: 3
Source: RefSeq, a predicted model, not a curated record